CAUAGGUGCUACAGUCAACCUGCACUGUAGACCAAUAUAUCGAUGAUGUAGCUAGCCUCGCUUUGAUACAGUAGCCUUAUUCUGAGCUACACAAUAGAAGCGAUCUCAGUUCCUGCCAGGCCUUGGUCAAAGACACGUCUCCCAUGUGUGUUACAUGUCUAUUCACCUCGACACAGGAUAUACGUUUUGUAAAUGAAGAUAUUUUAUUGCACACACAUUCUCAAAAUGACGGUUCUCAUUACACACA
Long non-coding RNA from Octopus sinensis (East Asian common octopus), 247 nucleotides. RefSeq lists it as uncharacterized. The record is from RefSeq and is a predicted model, not a curated record. The transcript is spliced from 3 exons. Lineage: Eukaryota; Metazoa; Mollusca; Cephalopoda; Octopoda; Octopodidae.